GUCGAGAAUCAUUCACAAUGGGGGAAACCCUGAUGGUGCGACGCCGCGUGAGUGAAGAAGGUUUUCGGAUCGUAAAACUCUGUUGUUAGAGAAGAACAAGGAUGAGAGUAGAACGUUCAUCCCUUGACGGUAUCUAACCAGAAAGCCACGGCUAACUACGUGCCAGCAGCCGCGGUAAUACGUAGGUGGCAAGCGUUGUCCGGAUUUAUUGGGCGUAAAGCGAGCGCAGGCGGUUUCUUAAGUCUGAUGUGAAAGCCCCCGGCUCAACCGGGGAGGGUCAUUGGAAACUGGGAGACUUGAGUGCAGAAGAGGAGAGUGGAAUUCCAUGUGUAGCGGUGAAAUGCGUAGAUAUAUGGAGGAACACCAGUGGCGAAGGCGGCUCUCUGGUCUGUAACUGACGCUGAGGCUCGAAAGCGUGGGGAGCGAACAGGA
Molecule: ribosomal RNA, 432 nt
Filed under: uncultured bacterium
Lineage: Bacteria
Description: bacterial SSU rRNA
Rfam family: Bacterial small subunit ribosomal RNA
Source: RNAcentral